UUCCCAGUGGCAGAGAUUUAAAAUGUCAGUUCAGCCACAGAACAGGUGCAGCAUGGGCAUCAGCAGUGCAAAUGGCCCCACCAGUACCUGCUGGUCCCUGAGAGGCCACUUUGAGGGCUGGAGAGAACAGUUCAGUUUUCCCAUGCAAUCAGCCCUUGGCAGAG
RNAcentral lists this small RNA (164 nucleotides) under Sphenodon punctatus (tuatara). Its description in RNAcentral is "TUC338 (ENSSPUG00000002020.1)". Lineage: Eukaryota; Metazoa; Chordata; Lepidosauria; Sphenodontia; Sphenodontidae. The record is from RNAcentral.